GAAGAGAAAGGAGAGCCGAUUGGGAUUCUGACUCGACGUUUCCAUUCGCGCUAUCCAAUGGCUAGGCGGGAGGAAGGUAAAAGCGAAAAGGAGAGGAGAAAAUUGAAAAACCGAUUCGUCGAGGGUCGGUUAGAAAUGAGAGGGUAAGAAAGAAGAAGAGAGUGAGAAAAAACGCAAGAGAAAAAAAGAGAGAAAGAGAGAGAGAGAGAAAGGGAGAGAGAGAGAUAGAAGAAAGAAAAGUUCGAAAAUGCUCUUUAUCUCCAUUCUCACCCCACUCGAUGUCGACGAACGCUCGUGAGGAUAACUGGAGAGGGAAGCACGACUCAACGCGAGUUAACGGUGAACUGACUGCCACUGACUCUCCUCCGGACGACGUAGCUACGGCCGAUGAAACCCGCGAAAAUCCGAGAUGGCAAGGUUCGGUUUUAAACAUGAUGGUCGAUGCCCUAUCUCUAAACCGCAUUAAGAUACUUACAUAUGUAUAUCUAAAGAUGAAAAGAAGAUAUAUUUUUUAAAAAAUAUUUAAAUGAUGUCAUAAAUAUUUAAAUUCACAUUGAAAUAAAACUAUAAUGGAUACUUCCUCAGAAUCUUUUUUAGUAGGUAUGUAUAUGUAUUCAUGUUUAAAAGCUGACAAGAUUAAGGUAUAUGCUUCAUUAUAAUCCGAUAUAAUAAAUAAUAAGUUCUCACCGUCAAAUAGAAAAAGAAAUCAAUUAACUCUUUGCGAUCAUAAUACUUUUUAGUAUAGAUAUCCGAUAAUUCGAUCGGAAUUAUUUUUCUUCGCACAUUGAGAGACAUAAAUUCAACCAAUUAUUGCUUUAUAAAACUCAUAAAAUUAAUUCUACUUAAAUGAAUUUUUAUAUUAUUAAUAUAAAAGUCUUAAUCUACAUUUUUGUAAUUCCUCUAAAACUUUUGUUAUUUUUGUUCAAUCCAGAUGAAUAAGACAAAAUUGUUCUUUAUGAUCCGACAGAAAGUUUAGGAUACUUAACUUGUGAAAAUAUUAGCUAUAAAACGUAUGAAUGAAAUAAUGGAAAUGCUCGACAUAGUUAUUACUUCGAAAAAAGAAGUAGAAAAAUUUUUAAAUCUUAGCUGUCAGUCAUGCUUGACGGUGGAAUAUAUUAGUUUUAAUAAAAGAUAUGGUUUAGUAUUAUAAUACAUAUUAUGUUUUAUGUUUUUCUUCUUGCUAGUAUAUUUUUCGAAAAAAUCCCCAAUGCGAAAAGUUCUGGUUUUCUGCUCCAAAUAUCGUAGUGAUAACCUGAUUCUCACCUUUGACCUAUUUUAUUUUUCUAUUAUCUAGAAUUUACUAAGCAUUCUUUGCUUCGUUCUCCGUCAUUCCGUCGUAGUAUAUGAAAUUUGCCAUUUAAUUGUUCUCCUCUAUCGGAAGUAGAUGGUCUACCGCAUAAUGUCAUAGAUCGAUCGCAAAAUUGCCCACCAGUUGGUCUACUAAUUGUCCUAGGAAUUUUAGAUUUGUGGUAGGAGUUAAAAUGCAUUACUGGAAUUAUCUCGACAUAGAACCAGGACGAUAAAAAAAAAAAGUUUAAUGGACGGAUAUCUCGGAUUUCGAACUGAAAAAGUUAAAUUACUAAACAAACAUCCUUAACAAAAUGUUUUGACCUACUUCAAAUAUGUUUCGCGUUACAUCAAGAAACAAAGUGGUACAGCUAAUCGAUGCCUCUUACUACUCAGACGGAAAUUCAAUAUAAUGAGUAUUAUAUAUACUUUAACGUGCUUACGAAUUGCAUCUCUCUAACAAUACACAAACUUCAAGAUACAUUAAAUCGGCUUUAAAUGAGCUAUAUCGUCAAAUAGUAUUAACAUGAAUGAACUUUUGUAUUGUCUAGUUUCUCGCUUGCAGAUAUCAUUCAAAUAGGUUCAAUCUAAAUGAUCGCCUCAAUGAUUUUCAAAAGUAUUCGAGACCAAGAGAUCGGUAAAAAAAGAUACAAAAGUGUAUUCUUACAGAAACGGUCCGUAUCUACAUACUUGUACAUGUAUACUAUAUACUUAUAUGAAUAUCUAGUACAUGGAUAUACAUAUGUAUAUACUCCACUUUCAACAUGAAAGACACUAAGAACAGAAUAGUUUUAUCGUUAACAACGCGUGAAAGAAGUUCCCUUUUCUCUGUCACGAAACAAUCUAUUUUUGCAUUAUCAUAUAAUAUAGAAUAAAAAAUUCUGCCGAAUUUGCGCUUGAAUUCUAGAUCUUAUUAAAACUACACAGCUUGACCCCGUAUUAUUAAUUGCAAGACGACAAGUAGUUGGUAAAGAGAGGUCUGUGAAAGAAAAGCAAAGAAGUGAGAAAAAGAAAGCCCUGUUUGUCCAAAGAAAAAUUACUCACUUAUGCACGUUCUUUUCACGAGCUUUAACAAAUUCGUAGACAAAUUCGUUCGUUUUCAAGCGUACGGCUUUUUAAGUUGAUAAAAUUCCAAUUAAUAUAUUAUGUUCUUUGUAAAACCUUAUGCACGAAAAUAUGUAUACAUAUCUC
This is a long non-coding RNA of Vespa velutina, 2478 nucleotides long. RefSeq lists it as uncharacterized. NCBI's taxonomy places the organism in Eukaryota, Metazoa, Arthropoda, Insecta, Hymenoptera, Vespidae. The record is from RefSeq and is a predicted model, not a curated record. The transcript has 3 exons.